GACGAACGCUGGCGGCGUGCCUAAUACAUGCAAGUCGAACGAGAGCGACCGGUGCUUGCACUGGUCAAUCUAGUGGCGAACGGGUGAGUAACACGUGGGUAACCUGCCCAUCAGAGGGGGAUAACAUUCGGAAACGGAUGCUAAAACCGCAUAGGUCUUCGAACCGCAUGGUUUGAAGAUGAAAAGAGGCGCAAGCUUCUGCUGAUGGAUGGACCCGCGGUGCAUUAGCUAGUUGGUGAGGUAACGGCUCACCAAGGCCGUGAUGCAUAGCCGACCUGAGAGGGUGAUCGGCCACAUUGGGACUGAGACACGGCCCAAACUCCUACGGGAGGCAGCAGUAGGGAAUCUUCCGCAAUGGACGCAAGUCUGACGGAGCAACGCCGCGUGAGUGAAGAAGGUUUUCGGAUCGUAAAACUCUGUUGUUAGAGAAGAACAAGUGCUAGAGUAACUGUUAGCGCCUUGACGGUAUCUAACCAGAAAGCCACGGCUAACUACGUG
Molecule: ribosomal RNA, 498 nt
Filed under: uncultured bacterium
Lineage: Bacteria
Description: partial 16S ribosomal RNA
Rfam family: Bacterial small subunit ribosomal RNA
Source: RNAcentral